Molecule: ribosomal RNA, 497 nt
Filed under: uncultured bacterium
Lineage: Bacteria
Description: partial 16S ribosomal RNA
Rfam family: Bacterial small subunit ribosomal RNA
Source: RNAcentral
GAUGAACGCUGGCGGCGUGCCUAAUACAUGCAAGUCGAGCGAACGGACGAGAAGCUUGCUUCUCUGAUGUUAGCGGCGGACGGGUGAGUAACACGUGGAUAACCUACCUAUAAGACUGGGAUAACUUCGGGAAACCGGAGCUAAUACCGGAUAAUAUUUUGAACCGCAUGGUGCAAAAGUGAAAGACGGUCUUGCUGUCACUUAUAGAUGGAUCCGCGCUGCAUUAGCUAGUUGGUAAGGUAACGGCUUACCAAGGCAACGAUGCAUAGCCGACCUGAGAGGGUGAUCGGCCACACUGGAACUGAGACACGGUCCAGACUCCUACGGGAGGCAGCAGUAGGGAAUCUUCCGCAAUGGGCGAAAGCCUGACGGAGCAACGCCGCGUGAGUGAUGAAGGUCUUCGGAUCGUAAAACUCUGUUAUUAGGGAAGAACAUAUGUGUAAGUAACUGUGCACAUCUUGACGGUACCUAAUCAGAAAGCCACGGCUAACUACGUG